This is a long non-coding RNA of Acinonyx jubatus (cheetah), 2249 nucleotides long. RefSeq lists it as uncharacterized. The record is from RefSeq and is a predicted model, not a curated record. Lineage: Eukaryota; Metazoa; Chordata; Mammalia; Carnivora; Felidae. The transcript is spliced from 5 exons.
GAAACCUAUGGGGAGCUCCUCGGCGGGGCGGCUUUGAUGAUUUCUUCAGACACAUGGAGCAGACUGACAAAUGGACUCUCAAGUGAAAGGUCAGUGCCGAGAACCGAACGGAUAGAGCAUCUGGAUUCACAAUUAAAACGCCCGCAGAGCACGGUUUGCAGCUCCGGCGUCUCAUUGUGUAGGAGGUGCUGUCGGAGGGACUCAUUUGGCAGCUGUUUCUGACUCUGGAUUGGGAUGGGAGAAAAUAAAAAUUCCUUUCGGUCGUCUGUGCGUGCGUGUGCCGCGCACCCGCGAUUUCGUGCGGGUGUUGGGAGAGAAAUCGUGCUGUUUGGCAACAGCAGAAACAGCCCUCUGCUAACUCAGCUCUGCCCCAGAGCUGACCUCCGGAACGGUCGGUCCAGGGCGAGUAGAUCCUUAGAAGAGCUGGCUGGCCCAUCGCUGCGCCCACCUUACGCAGCUGCGGGUUCAAGAGCACCGAGGACGGCGUCUGAAAACCAAGUUUAAUCACUGAUUUACUCUCUGACCGUGGGUAACUUGUCGUUUACCAUGUGGACGGGCUUCCACACCUGCGGAACGUGUUUCUGUUCAUCCCGUGGAACGGGACGCUGCGCCCCACUGGUGCUGUUCCCCCGCGUGCCUUGGUCGUAAGAACACGUGUUCUGUGUCUUUCCAUACCCAGAGAUGUGGGGAAAGAUGUGGGGAUAGGAUGUUCCUAAGAAAAGCCUGAGGGUUGAUUCAUUGUCCUUUGGUUACCUGCCUCCUCCCCCUGCUGAGGUCAGACAUUUCAGACUUGUCAAAGAAGCAAUGGGCCUACCAAGUUGAGCAAGACAACUUCAGUUGUGAAAAUUAUGAUUGGAGAAGUUUUAGCCACCUAUCUCUUCUUCUCCCAUAAGUUACUUGUGGUCAGCCACGGUCGGGAGGCGGAUUAUGCCUGUGAUAACAGAAGGUCAAUGGUAGCCUGAUGCUAUCUGUCCUUCACCUCACUUCACCUCAUCUCAUUUUAUCAUCCCAUGUCACCACAAGAAAAAGGGCACCUGGGGAGACCUGACGACUAGCUGGCCUAGGCUGUUUCUUAAUGGCUUCCUGAGGCUGCAAUGAUGCCUGCUUCCCAUACUGCAAGUGCAUUAAAGGUAGGGAUGGGGCCACUCGUGAAGUUAUGGGCUGAGUUGGGUACCCUCCAUAUUCAACUGUUGAAAUCCCAACCCCUAGCUCUCCUCAGAAUGUAAUGAUAUCAGAGGUUAAAUUUGAAUGAGGCCAUUAAGGUGGGGCCCUCAUCCAAUGAGCGGCAUUCUUAUGAGAAAGAGAAACUAGGACGCAGGUGGAGAGAGACUAGAGGUGUCUGUGAACAGAGGAUCGACCAUGUGAAGGGGGAUCCAGAGGGUAGCCAUGUUCAAGUCAACCAGAGAGGUCUCAGAGGAAACCAACUCUGUAGGCACCUUGACCUUGGACUAUCAGCUUCCUAAACUGUGAGAAAAUAAGUAUCUGUUGUUUAAGCCACCCAGUCUGUGGUAUUUUAUUAUGGCCUCCAAGCAUACCAGUAUGUUUGGAUUCAUUAAUACACUCAACAACUACUUGUUGAACAUUUACGAUGUGCCAGAUACGGUUUAGAUGGUGGCACGUACAGAGCUGAGGAAGAAUCUGGGUCCUUGCUGUCAGAGAGUUUCUGUUUCAAUGGGAGGGGAAGGUCACUAAAAAGGUAAAGUAAUAAGCUGAUUUUAGAGAAUGGUAAGUGUUAUGAAGGAGACCCAAUAGGAUUGUGUAAUGGAGAAUAUAGGGGAGCGGCUUUGAACAGGGCAUUCAGAAGAAGGCCUUUUGGGAGGUAAUGUUAGAGCUGAGACCUGAAAAUAAGAUUCAAGCCAUGCAAAGACAUGGGAAGGAGAGUGCGCAAAAGUCCUUGGGCAGGAGCACAUUGAUUGAUGUCUUUGAGGAACAGAGAGAAAGCCAGUGUGAGUGAGACAAAAGUGAUCAUUUACAUCAAUUGGAAUUUAUGUCAAUUGGAUCAUUUAUGUCAAAUGGGCUGCAGUGGCUAGGGACACAGCUCUGCCCUCCUCAAAGUUGGCGAGGGUGGUCAAAGGUCACAAAUUGAAGGAAGCAUAUAUAGAGGUGAGAGACACAGAGCAGAAUCCUGACAAAGGAAUCUGAGCUCCACCUACAUGGUUGGCCUGGAAGACUGGUUCUCAAACUGACCAGGAUUAAUGCUUCUUUUUUAGAGCAAAUAUUUUAUAAGAACCUUUUCAUUAUCCCCAUCC